Oryza sativa Japonica Group (Japanese rice) is the source of this 2209-nucleotide RNA transcript. RefSeq lists it as uncharacterized. Lineage: Eukaryota; Viridiplantae; Streptophyta; Magnoliopsida; Poales; Poaceae. The record is from RefSeq and is a predicted model, not a curated record.
CCUGUGACUCUGUUGGCUGUGCUGUCCAGUCCCCCACUUCGCAGAGGGAUUGCCUGCGGCGCUCACCUCUCGCCGUCUCCGCCUCUCCGGAGACGGCGGCCACCGCGCGCCCGCCUCUCGUCGGCGCCGUGCCUCCCUCAACGGCCACCACCUUUGCGGGCGCUCCCAUCGUACUGCGUGGCUGCUGCCAGAUCCAGGCCGUCAGGAUCUACCCCCCGCCCUUCUCGUCGGAGGGUUAGGGUUUGUGCGACCCGGCGACGGCGAGCGAGGUCUCUCACCCGCGAAAGGGGGGGGGGGGGGUGGCGCGUACCUACAGAGCCCUCCGAGUUUCGCGAGCACAGUUCCCCGCAGGGAGAGCGCAAGCCCGAGGCUGUUAUAGCUACAUAGAAGGACAACUGAUACGGUGUUAGGUCAUGGAGGAGAUUCAUGGCAUGCAAGAAUCAAAGACUGCAUCUGUCAUCAAAGUUGCCAGAGAGCCUGCCGUCAUUAUCAAUGGAGUUCCAGACUUGCCUCCUGAUGUAGCAUCCGAAUCACAACCUGAGCCACGUAAUGCUGCAGAACCUCCUGUUGAUCAUCGUUUUGGUGAAUUUCUAGAAGGGCGGAAAGUAAGGAAACCUUUUGGGGACAAGCAUUUUGUAGGGAAAGUGGACAAGUAUGAUAGUGAAAGUAACUGGUACAGUGUUGUCUAUCAAGAUGGAGACCAGGAGGAUCUCGAGUGGAAGGAAGUGGAGGAGAUCAUGCUGCCAUUGGACAUAACUAUCCCGCUGAAAACACUUAUUUCGGAUAAAUUCGCACUUCAAAAUACAGCUCCUGUCUUCAAACCUAAGGUGGGUAGACCAAGAAAAGUCUAUGCUAUAACGGAUGGCAACACAAACAAUGCUAUGGAAGAUCAGAUGAUGACUGGAGCGGCAAAUGAACAUCAAUCCAAUAACUUACUAGCGUUGGUUCCAGCAUCUACAUCCAACGAUGCAUAUGUUAACGCUAGUAGUCAACCUAGAAAAAGGGGCAGGCCUCGAAAGGAUGCAACUAUGUAUCCUCGAAAGGAUGCAACUAUUCCUGCCAAUACUCAGCCUAAAAGAAGAGGCAGGCCUCCAAAAAACAGGAACUUGUCUGGAAAUGCUCAGAGUGCUGAAUGCACACCACAAAAUAGUGUUCUUAUACGCAAUGCACAGACAGUCAGGGCAGAAAAACUGGCGAAGGCAGAAAGACUGAAGAGAGAAAAUAUGCAUGCUCAAGGCGCACCACCUGGAACUCAAUUUUUCUAACAUGCAUUCCCACUGUUCCAAUACAUAUAUCUGUAAACAUUCCAGAAUCUAUGCACGAUGGUGACACUAGCUUUCAACAUAUAUUUUGUACAAUCCAUCGUAGAGCAAAACUUGUAAGACUAUAUUUGCUAUCCCAAUGCUAUCGUAUUUCUUUCCUAUACAAGUAUAUGCAGUCUGUUUAGACGUCCUUUGGUACGGUCUUAAAAGUUUUCCUUGUGGAAGUGGAAUCUAGUUGUGGUUGUCUGGCUGAAUUCUUUUGAAAGAUCCUUGAGUUGUUUCGUGAGUGUAGGGGAUCCACAAUAGAAAACACCUGCAUAUUUAUGGAUUUGUUAACAACCGUUACUGCAAAGCUCAAAAUUGUUGCAUCGACGAUGUUCGCUGAAAAAAGAGGCUCACCUAUGCGUGAGUUUUUGUGGGCAUUCGCCAAGUCAGAGAACACCUUUCUCCAGUUAGGCCUCGCAAAAUGUGUGCGAAUCUGCAACAGAUCAAUCAGAAAUAAGAGGAAUACACUGGAAAUAAAUAAGUAUUUCAGAUAGAAGAGGGGGAAGAUGUCGAAUACCCUGCUGCCGGAGACGAUAUCCACACCAUUUUUGGCAUGUUGAAGUGACUGAACCAUGGCAAUCAAAGCUGACCUUGCGUCGCCUUCUUCAUACACGCUGGUCAGCGAAGAAUUGAGAGUGAGACAGUACAUUGUGAUCACUUUCAGCGACAUCGUUCAUGACUCCUUUAAACCACUCGAAGGACCCUUGCUCUCUGGUCACCCAGUAGAAGUAAGCUCUUCCUGGCCCAUUGUUCUUGAAGCUGCCUAUCUCAGAACCAUGUAUGCUUUCCACCUCCUGUUGCCAUCAACUCAUUUUAGUUAUCUAUUUCCUCCAGUUAUACAACAUUGUAGGAAAUAAGGAAACACUAUUUAUCAGGGAAGAAUUUUACUUCGUUGGAUUUAA